Molecule: ribosomal RNA, 484 nt
Filed under: uncultured bacterium
Lineage: Bacteria
Description: partial 16S ribosomal RNA
Rfam family: Bacterial small subunit ribosomal RNA
Source: RNAcentral
AUUGAACGCUGGCGGCAGGCCUAACACAUGCAAGUCGAGCGGAUGAAGGGAGCUUGCUCCUGGAUUCAGCGGCGGACGGCUGAGUAAUGCCUAGGAAUCUGCCUGGUAGUGGGGGAUAACGUCCGGAAACGGGCGCUAAUACCGCAUACGUCCUGAGGGAGAAAGUGGGGGAUCUUCGGACCUCACGCUAUCAGAUGAGCCUAGGUCGGAUUAGCUAGUUGGUGGGGUAAAGGCCUACCAAGGCGACGAUCCGUAACUGGUCUGAGAGGAUGAUCAGUCACACUGGAACUGAGACACGGUCCAGACUCCUACGGGAGGCAGCAGUGGGGAAUAUUGGACAAUGGGCGAAAGCCUGAUCCAGCCAUGCCGCGUGUGUGAAGAAGGUCUUCGGAUUGUAAAGCACUUUAAGUUGGGAGGAAGGGCAGUAAGUUAAUACCUUGCUGUUUUGACGUUACCAACAGAAUAAGCACCGGCUAACUUCGUG